This 1516-nucleotide ribosomal RNA is filed under the name human metagenome. RNAcentral describes it as "bacterial LSU rRNA". It matches the Rfam family "Bacterial large subunit ribosomal RNA", at positions 466 to 2011 of the family's 2925-position model. The record is from RNAcentral.
CUAAAUACUACCCAGUGACCGAUAGCGAAUAGUACCGUGAGGGAAAGGUGAAAAGGACCCCGGGAGGGGAGUGAAAUAGAACCUGAAACCUUAUGCUUACAAGCAGAGGGAGCGCAAGUGACCUCGUACUUUUUGUAGAACGGGCCAACGAGUUAUGGUAUGCAGCGAGGUUAAGGUGCUGGAGCACUGGAGCCGUAGAGAAAUCGAGUCUGAAAGGGCGAAAGUUGCAUGCUGUAGACCCGAAACCGGGUGAUCUAUCCAUGUCCAGGUUGAAGUAACUGUAAUAGGUUAUGGAGGACCGAACUUAUAUCUGUUGAAAAAGGUUAGGAUGAGGUGUGGAUAGGGGUGAAAUUCCAAUCGAACUCGGAUAUAGCUGGUUCUCCUCGAAAUAGCUUUAGGGCUAGCCUCGUAGUAAGAUACCUGGGGGUAGAGCACUGAAUGUUCUAGGGGCCUUCACCGGUUACCGAAAACUAUCAAACUCCGAAUACCAGAGUAUCAUCUACGGGAGUCAGACUAUGUGAGAUAAGUUUCAUAGUCGAAAGGGAAACAGCCCAGACCGUCAGCUAAGGUCCCAAAAUAUAGGUUAAGUGGAAAAGGAUGUGGGGUUGCACAGACAGCUAGGAUGUUGGCUUAGAAGCAGCCAUUCAUUCAAAGAGUGCGUAAUAGCUCACUAGUCGAGUGACCCUGCGCCGAAGAUAAACGGGGCUAAAACCUAUUACCGAAGCUACGGAUACUUAAUGUAUGGUAGAGGAGCGUCGUAUACGGGUUGAAGCAGUACUGUAAGGUAUUGUGGACUUUAUACGAGAGAGAAUGUUGGCAUGAGUAGCGCGAGGCAGGUGAGAAUCCUGCCCACCGAAAAUCUAAGGUUUCCUGAGGAAGGUUCGUCCACUCAGGGUUAGUCGGGGCCUAAGCCGAGGGCGAAAGCCAUAGGCGAUGGAUAACAGGUAGAAAUUCCUGUACCACCGAAGGUUGUUUGAAUGAUGUGGGGACACAGGAGGAUAAGCUGAGCACGCCGUUGGUAGAGCGUGUCCAAGCGUCAAGGGAGUAUGAAUAGGCAAAUCCGUUCAUAUAUAUUCUGAGGCGUGAUGGGGUGGUCAAUAGACCGGAAGCAGCUGAUUUCACACUGUCAAGAAAAGCCGCUAAUUAGACCUAAGGUGCCCGUACCGCAAACCGACACAGGUAGAUGAGGAGAGAAUCCUAAGGUGAGCGAGAGAACUAUUGUUAAGGAACUCGGCAAAAUAACCCCGUAACUUCGGGAGAAGGGGUGCCUGCUUCGGCAGGCCGCAGUGAAAAGGCCCAGGCAACUGUUUACCAAAAACACAGGUCUCUGCAAAAGCGAAAGCUGAAGUAUAGGGGCUGACGCCUGCCCGGUGCUGGAAGGUUAAGGGGACGUGUCAUCGCAAGAGAAGCACUGAACUUAAGCCCCAGUAAACGGCGGCCGUAACUAUAACGGUCCUAAGGUAGCGAAAUUCCUUGUCGGGUAAGUUCCGACCCGCACGAAAGGCGUAAUGAUUUG